GGGGAGGGGAGGUGCCACUUCAACCAACAUUCUCUCACACGACAGCCAGCCCAGGUUAUAGAGUUAAGGGUCCCCUUCGCGUGGACAACGGGACUGCAACUAAUCACAGGUCAAAAAAGCUCCCUGAGUCGACAUUGUCAACACCUUUUAGAAUUUUGAAUGCUUGAGACCAGAAUACCUGCCUGGAUUGCUUUAUUUACCUCCAUAUUCCAUUACCCAUGGCUUCUCCUUUCACUGAUUUAGAAGUUUUGACUGUUCUAUUUUCCCUGUUGGUAUUCAGUCUUUUUACAGCUGCUGGAAUCUAUAAUGAAAAAAUCAAAAGUCACUCAGCACUGCAACGUGAUUAUCUUGGACAAGAACCGGUGAUAGUGUGAAAAUUGAAGAUCUGGUGCAAUAAACUCUAUAAAGAUCACUUUAGAUGUAUUUACCAGAAGAUGCCAAUUGAUGUUGUUUGUAAAUUACAAAACUUAAUGGGAACCAUAUCUUUAAAAGUCCAUUUGAUUAGAAAUUAAGGUUGGCAUUCUUAAUGUGUUUUUUCACAACUGUGGAUACGUGAUGGAUUUGUUUGAAUUUGUUUUACCUGUAUGUAUCAUCUGUUACAACGGAGCAAUACACAACGUUGUAUUGCCUGUUAUCAUUAUUAUUUGUGUUUUGUCAUCAGACUUUGGAAUAUAAAAUAAAACACCAUUGCACCUUGA
Molecule: long non-coding RNA, 698 nt
Organism: Acipenser ruthenus (sterlet)
Lineage: Eukaryota; Metazoa; Chordata; Actinopteri; Acipenseriformes; Acipenseridae
Exons: 4
Source: RefSeq, a predicted model, not a curated record